RNA transcript from Lacerta agilis (Sand lizard), 958 nucleotides. It is a transcript of the gene named triggering receptor expressed on myeloid cells 2-like, with no coding region annotated. NCBI's taxonomy places the organism in Eukaryota, Metazoa, Chordata, Lepidosauria, Squamata, Lacertidae. The transcript has 5 exons. The record is from RefSeq and is a predicted model, not a curated record.
UUGUGCAAGACUCCGUUUUCAUCUUUACUUGCGAAUCUUCUCUCUUUAUCUGCUGGAGUGAGAUGGAGAACUUUGUGCAUCUCAUCUUCUUGGUCUCCUUGUCAGAAGCAUACGCGACUGAGGAUGUUCCAACGGUGUAUGGUGUCGAAGGAGAGCCCAUCACCAUCAAUUGCACUUACAACCCCCAGGAGCACCAGUGGAGAGAGAAGAGUUGGUGCAAGCACAUCAGUGAGAUGUCAUGCCAGCAUGUUGUCAGCGCCCGGCGUUUUUGGAUGCCGUUCCUCAAAAAAAGGAAUGGCACCACUGCCAUUGCCGACAACAUCGAGAAGGGAAUUCUCACAGUGACCAUUGACCCAUUCCAGAAAGAGGAUGCUGGUUUGUAUGAGUGCAAGGCGGAAUUCUUGGGGACUACAAACAUCCUGCAGAAAGUGAAGGUGGAAGUUCUGGCAGGUCUAUGGGAGACUGAGGCACCUGAGGAGCCCAGAGCAGUGCACAGCAUCUCCAGCACCCUGUCAGAUGCUGAAGUCAAUCUUCACUUCCUUGUGGCUGGAUUCUUGGGUUUCAAGCUCCUGGUUGCUGUAGUCAUCUGAUCGCUGCCAAGAGCAGUGCAGCAGACAGAAAAAGGAUGAGAGCCAUGGAGAAAAUGAGCACGAGCUCUUCCCAAUCACAGGCUAAAAGGGAAAGUUUGGCAUAAAUGGGAUGUGAUGGAAAGACGAAUGAGUAAUAAUUCAAAGAUAGGUGCAUAGAAAUGGCUCCAACAGACAAGAUGUGAAGGACAUGCUUGCUUUCUCCUGUGGCUUGUGCCCCAUGACCAAUGCAAGGACUGUGGUGGUUCCAUUUAUAAAGCCAGAUGUUGCCAGCAAGUCAAACUAAACAGCUUUGCUGUAGACAAUAGAAGCACUUUUAAUAUUAGAAGCACUUUUAAUAUUAUCUUGAAAACAGUCUGUACAGUGUAAGA